AAAAUCAUCCCCAUCAAAUUUUAGGUAAUAAGCUAAAUGUCUGAACUUCCAGAUAUUAGUCUCUAUAGUCUAUUGCCUAGUAUUUAAGCUCUCUAUACAUAAAUAUUCACAUAUCAAUUAUGUUUAUUUUGGAUUUCCUUCAAGCAAUUAUUUGUACUGCAUAACAAAAUGGUAAUAAGGUCCAAAUUAUUUUAUUUGUGUUAACAUUUCUACCGGCAAACACCGUUCAUCAAUCACAAUGGGCUACGUUAACCUUUGCCCUCGAUAGAUUUUCCAAACAUAUAUAGCGUUAUAGCCUUAUUUAUAAUAUAGUUAGUAGUAAAUACAGGGAAAUUGCAUGUGUAAUACACAAUUGAUGAUCAUCGUGCUGUAUCAGCCGUCCGUUAUGAUAUCGAUAUCAGUCACGGUUGUAUCAGUCUUUAUUUCUUAUGCAGCAGAAAUACUGCAAUCUGAUUGGUUAAUUACCCCGGUGUAAAUAACACCCCACCCUUGUUCACCCGGGGAUAAAUAAAAUUUUGCCAAAAAAUUUAAAAAAAUAAAAUCUUGCCAAAUUUUUUUUUAAAUAUUAAAAAUUUGCCAAAAAAAAAUUUUAAAAAUAAAAUUUUGCCAAAUAAAAAAAAAAAAAAAAAAAAAAGUUCAAAAAAAAAAAAAAAAAAAUUGAGGAAAAAUUUUUAAAAAAUUUAAAAAAUAUUUUUAAUUUUUGUUCCCCCAACAAAACACAAAAACAUUCGGAAUUUUCCCUAAAAUAAAGAAAAAAAGUAUUGCAUUCGGAAAACAGCCACAUGUGUUAGCCAGUGAUAAAAAAAAAGAUCUGGAGUGAUUUUUUUUAAUUUCUUUAAUUAAAAAUAAGACUACAAAAUGCUUUUAAUUACAUCGACCGAAUUCAUUAUAAUUAUGUAGCUAUAAAUGGAUUGCAAACAAAAUGAUCAAAUAGUAUUCUAUUUUUAGUUUAAAGGAUAUUCUAUAGCGAUUUUCAACAUUUGUAAAAAAUUUGUUCGGAUAGGGUUUAUAUUUUCAAUCAUUCUGGAAAAUGUUAAGCGGUAUGGUUGAUCAUUGAUGAUAAACAUGUAGCAAAAACAUUAGUCUUUCUGAUGAUACCAUCACAUUGCAGGAUAGCAUAAAUAUGUAAGCAGAACCUGGAGAGAAAAUGAAAAUCGACAAAAAUCUGAAAAAUUGGAAAUUUUCAAUUUCGCCAAAGUUUUAGUACAGAAAUAAUUUAAACGCCCUAAAUCAUUAUAACGGAAAAGCUGUAUUUCAUUUAUAAUAUAAAUUAAAUGCUCAAAUUAUGAUCUUUUAUUUUUUCGUGUCAUAUAGAAAUAGAGAUUUUAAGUUUUUUUCGAACAUUAAUUUAGGGGUGGGUCGUAAAUUCAUUGGAGGUGUCCGUUAUUAUUCUGUGGUUUACCUGUUAGUAUGUACUAUUAUAGUAUUCAUUUAUGUAUUUCUCUGUCAUUAUGGUUCUUGCGUUUAUUUGCACUGUAUUCCUGUCAUGUAAUGUUGUAAUUUUAGCGGUAUUUUCAACAUUGCCAUAUAAGUUGGAGGUUUGGCUUUCCAUUAAACCAGAUUCAAACCACCAUUUUUUUCUUUAAAUGUCCUGUACCAAGUCAGGAAUAUGGAAGUUGUUAUCAAAUAGUCCGUUUCUAUGUAUGUUGGCGUUUGUUUUUAUAGCAGUUCAGUGUUUUUGUUGUUCCGUUGUUUACCUCUUAUAUAUAGUUGGUGUGUUUCCCUCGGUUUAAGUUUGAAAUCCG
RNAcentral lists this long non-coding RNA (1745 nucleotides) under Mytilus galloprovincialis (Mediterranean mussel). Lineage: Eukaryota; Metazoa; Mollusca; Bivalvia; Mytilida; Mytilidae. The record is from RNAcentral.